This 434-nucleotide ribosomal RNA is filed under the name uncultured bacterium. Its description in RNAcentral is "bacterial SSU rRNA". It matches the Rfam family "Bacterial small subunit ribosomal RNA", at positions 30 to 481 of the family's 1533-position model. The record is from RNAcentral.
AUUGAACGCUGGCGGCAUGCCUUACACAUGCAAGUCGAACGGCAGCGCGGGGCAACCUGGCGGCGAGUGGCGAACGGGUGAGUAAUAUAUCGGAACAUACCCUAGAGUGGGGAUAACGUAGCGAAAGUUACGCUAAUACCGCAUACGCACUAAGGUGGAAAGUGGGGGAUCUUCGGACCUCAUGCUCAUGGAGUGGCCGAUAUCUGAUUAGCUAGUUGGUGAGGUAAAGGCUCACCAAGGCGACGAUCAGUAGCUGGUUUGAGAGAACGACCAGCCACACUGGAACUGAGACACGGUCCAGACUCCUACGGGAGGCAGCAGUGGGGAAUUUUGGACAAUGGGCGCAAGCCUGAUCCAGCCAUGCCGCGUGUCUGAAGAAGGCCUCGGGUUGUAAGGACUUUGUCGGUAGCGAAAUACCUAGUGGUUAAUAACCG